RNA transcript from Haliotis rubra (blacklip abalone), 3380 nucleotides. It is a transcript of the gene named MORN repeat-containing protein 1-like, with no coding region annotated. The record is from RefSeq and is a predicted model, not a curated record. Lineage: Eukaryota; Metazoa; Mollusca; Gastropoda; Lepetellida; Haliotidae. The transcript is spliced from 14 exons.
UUGUCAGUGAAAACAACAUGGCGGCUUAUACGGCAUCCAGGGCCAGUUAUGUUGGUGAAACUAAGAAACUGCUUCGAGAAGGAUUUGGUGUCUACACAUAUGAAAAUCAGUUCUUCAGAUAUGAAGGCCAGUGGCAGAGAGGGAAGAAACAUGGUCAUGGUAAGCUGCUGAUGAAAGACGGCACCUUCUACGAGGGUCUUUUUGCAAAUGGUGAGAUUCAAGGACAUGGCUACAAGUACUUUGCGACAUCAGGGUGCAAGUACACCGGGCAGUUCGAGCGUGGGGAGCUACAUGGCUACGGGGUCAUGCAGUACAAAGAUGGCACCCUCUUUGAAGGGGAGUGGGCGCAUAACAGAAAACAAGGCUAUGGGGUACUCAAGACUGGAGAGAACUCCACGUACGAGGGAGAGUUUGUUGGCAGUAUGCGGCAUGGAGACGGCACAAUGAUUUACAACGGUGUUUACAAAGCGAGUAACGGGGAUAGGUACACAGGCAACUGGGUGAUGGACAAGAGGCAAGGUCAAGGACAUCUCAUCUGUCAAGAUGGUACAGAGUAUGAGGGUCAGUGGCUGAACGACAUGUUCCAUGGUGAGGGCAAGAUGGUUCAUGCAUCCGGGAUCAUCUAUGAAGGUCAGUGGGUCAAUGGCUACCCAGUGGAGAUGGCCACCAAGAUGGUGAUCGUUAUGGAAACAGAAUCACUGGAACUCACUCAAGGGCAGACAUUCUCAGUCAAAGUUGAAUGUCACAACGACCUUGGGGAGGUCAUUGCAGAUCAAGGGAGAGAACUCCUGGUAUCGGCUGGCUUCAAGUACUACCCCACAAAGGAAGGCUCGGCACUGUUUGAUAUGAUAGAGCAGGUUGAGGAGAAACCUAUCGAAACACCUUUCGGCUACUCUAUUGUGCCCUACCCCCUGACUGACCACAUGAACACGGACGAGGAGAAGGAAGCGGAGGGGGAAAAGGAGGAGGCCGGUGAGAUCAAGGUCACACCAGAACAAGAGGUUCCAGCCAAGACAGAAGACGGAGAUGAGGAACAGGAACAGGUGGAAGAAGGAGAAGAGAAGGGGGAGAAGGAGGCAGUUAAAGAGGAAGGGGAGAAGAGCAGAGUCAUGUCGCCCACACAAGAAGCAGCACAGGAUCUUGUGACAGAACCAACCACAGAGGAGAGUGCACCUCCACAGAGAGAAACCACGCCCCUUCCUCCCCCUGUAGCCAGUCAGAGGACAGUGGAUGGUGCAAGUGAGUGGAGCUGUCUCCAGCUGGCCCCGCCCCCUCCAAUGUACCGCCCAUUUCUAGCCAUGGAGGAGGAGGUAGCAAUGAAGAAAACCAAGUCCAAGAAGCUGGGCCAGUCAAAGGACAAGAGCCUGGAAAAGCAAGAUGGUAAACAUUCCAGAAAAGAAAUUAAGGAGAAAACAAGCACAGAAAGUAACCUGGAUGAGAAAUUUGCUCGACAAGGGGAGUACGUGAUCAUGGUACAAGAUGUCACCAACCCAGCAUUUCUCCGAGGACCACUCCCUCCAGCAUUCAUGCUCGUCAAACUCCAGAAACCUAAACUAAAGAAAAAAGACUCCAAACCAAAGUAGGUCACCUUGUCUUUGUUUCAAACUGGAGCACCUUAACAACCUGUGACUUCUGACCCGACCCAGUUGACUGACCUUCACCUACCCGAUCUCAGUGACCUUCACCUUUGCUGCAGUGGAACGGAUUAACCAUGCACAAACAUUUCAUUUGCGCACAGUGUUCAUUUGCAUGAGGAGCACUUUGAAUUGUGGGAUUAUUAAUUGCACUGUUUGAAGGAGAAUGUUAAGAAUGAUCAUCAGUGAACAUUUGAGUGUUUCCAUUGGUCUAGAAGACAAAUUUAAUUACUUGUUUUACAGUCUAUUUAAUGUACAAAUAUACCGAUCUAAAUGUCUUAUAUACCGAUCUAAAUGUUAUCUUCCCUCACUUCCUCCUAAACUUUUGUAAGAUUAUCUUGAUGUGUCACAGUGUGUUUUAAUCUCUGACCAUGUAGUGGAUAUGUCACCAACUCCAUGUAAAUAGCUUCACCUUGGAACUUCAGAAGCAAAUAAGCAACUGAUAACCCUGAGGUUGUGGACUGACAAUAUCUGUGAUAUGUAGACGAUGAGGAUGAUAGUUUCAUGUCAGAUUGAAUAACAUCAUCCCAUACCUACUGCAGUUGCUUGACAUAUGGUCGAACUUCCAGCCGAUCAUAAGCAGGAAAUUAAAAAAGAUAGACGUACCGUAUGUUACAGUUGAUAAGCCGAUCUCAUUGAUAAGCCAAGGUCCUAACUUUCCCCUUAGAAUGGUAUGUUCCGUAGAUAAGCCAACCCAUGAACCUUCACUCAUCUUUUCGUUGUGAUAAUUCAUCAGAAAUAGUGUGUCAAGAAAUCCAUAUUGAAUUACACAAGUUAAUCAUGUUGUUACACCAUCUCCCUUUCUACAGACUGCAUUUUUGGGGCCUCAAAAUUUGGCUUAUCUACGGUAAUAUACAAUAAUUAAAUGAGACAGGUCAGGUCAGUGAUGAAGAUUGUACAGUGUUCCCAGUACUGUUACAUGAGGCAGUGUUGUACAGCUGUGAUACACCUGCUGUACAGCUAUUGUUACUGUACUGGAGACGUACAGGUGAGACGUGCGUUGUUUGUGACUGUAAGAUUGUUUGUGACUGUAAGAUUGUUUGUGACUGUAAGAUUGUUUGUGACUGUAAGAUUGUUUGACGAGGUUACCAAGAACAAGCAGCCAUCAAUAGCCAGUGACUGUCAAAACUUGAUGAACUUGUGUAAAUGUACCGACCACACGCAGAACUUGAUCAGAAGCACAGCAACCAGCACUCAUUUGUGUGUAGACAUUAUAAUAAUAAUAAUGAUAAUAAUGAGAAUAUUUAUAACGUACCUUUUCCAGGCUAAAUAUCCUGCUCAAAGCGCACAAUCUGAUCAUUAUUACCCCGGAUAACCCAAGCUGCCUGUUAGGCGCUAGAAGGUUAAUACUAGUAGUCUCAAGACUUAUUUCACCGGGUACCCAUUUCUUCCCUCCAUGUGCUGGGAACCUGACAUGACAGUAUACCAUUAUAUGUCCAGCUGGUGAUGUGUAUCACUUUAUAAAUGUGAAAAUGGACACUAGGAUUUUUUGAUUUCGUGCAAUGGCAGACUAUGGUAUACUGCUUAACAUAUGUAACUUUGGCCAGUUGAGCUUAAACUGUGAUAAAAAGUGUCUGUGCUUCUAUUCUAUAUGCAUUUGUCAAACAGAACUCAACAAAUACAAGAGGUUCCUAUAUGAUGUUCCUGUGAUAGUUGAAGAUUGCCAGUCCAACCAAUAUUCUGUGAUAUAUAUGGUUUUGCAUGAUACUUACUUUUACAGUGGAAUAAAGUCUAUAUUUUUUGUAA